GGCCUGGUGGUGUAGUGGUAACACAUCCUCUAAGAAUGUAUCUGUGUCGAUGGCUAUUUAGGAGGAAAAGCCCUGUUCGAUUCGGGGUCAGGCCA
Mycena galericulata is the source of this 95-nucleotide non-coding RNA. Lineage: Eukaryota; Fungi; Basidiomycota; Agaricomycetes; Agaricales; Mycenaceae. The record is from the annotation of a GenBank genome assembly.